This 29-nucleotide non-coding RNA is filed under the name Rattus norvegicus (Norway rat). The record is from RNAcentral. Lineage: Eukaryota; Metazoa; Chordata; Mammalia; Rodentia; Muridae.
UGCAAUAGGCUGCUCGAUGGGAGAUUUUU